Molecule: ribosomal RNA, 253 nt
Filed under: uncultured bacterium
Lineage: Bacteria
Description: partial 16S ribosomal RNA
Rfam family: Bacterial small subunit ribosomal RNA
Source: RNAcentral
UACGUAGGGUGCAAGCGUUAAUCGGAAUUACUGGGCGUAAAGGGUGCGUAGGCGGCGGGGAAAGUCUGAUGUGAAAUCCUGGGGCUCAACCCUGGAACUGCAUUGGAUACUUCCUUGCUAGAGUACUGGAGAGGAAACUGGGAUUUACGGUGUAGCAGUGAAAUGCGUAGAGAUCGUAAGGAAGACCAGUGGCGAAGGCGAGUUUCUGGACAGUUACUGACGCUGAGGCACGAAGGCCAGGGGAGCAAACGGG